This 490-nucleotide ribosomal RNA is filed under the name uncultured bacterium. RNAcentral's name for it is "partial 16S ribosomal RNA". It matches the Rfam family "Bacterial small subunit ribosomal RNA", at positions 30 to 507 of the family's 1533-position model. The record is from RNAcentral.
AUUGAACGCUGGCGGCAGGCCUAACACAUGCAAGUCGAACGGUAACAGGAAGAAGCUUGCUUCUUUGCUGACGAGCGGCGGACGGGUGAGUAAUGUCUGGGAAACUGCCUGAUGGAGGGGGAUAACUACUGGAAACGGUAGCUAAUACCGCAUAACGUCGCAAGACCAAAGAGGGGGACCUUCGGGCCUCUUGCCAUCGGAUGUGCCCAGAUGGGAUUUGCUAGUAGGUGGGGUAACGGCUCACCUAGGCGACGAUCCCUAGCUGGUCUGAGAGGAUGACCAGCCACACUGGAACUGAGACACGGUCCAGACUCCUACGGGAGGCAGCAGUGGGGAAUAUUGCACAAUGGGCGCAAGCCUGAUGCAGCCAUGCCGCGUGUAUGAAGAAGGCCUUCGGGUUGUAAAGUACUUUCAGCGGGGAGGAAGGGAGUAAAGUUAAUACCUUUGCUCAUUGACGUUACCCGCAGAAGAAGCACCGGCUAACUCCGUG